AAUCCUGUGGUGAGGGCAUUUACGUAGUAGCUCUUGAAUAUUUCCCAUGCCUCGUAUAGGGACUCAUCAUCCAUCUACUGAAAAGUGGUGAUCGCAUUCCAGAACUU
Gossypium raimondii (Peruvian cotton) is the source of this 107-nucleotide non-coding RNA. The record is from Rfam. NCBI's taxonomy places the organism in Eukaryota, Viridiplantae, Streptophyta, Magnoliopsida, Malvales, Malvaceae.